UGUUUCUCCAAAUUUCUAAAUCCCCCGCGCUCUUUUUGCUCUGCUUGCUGCUCAUGUUUCCCCAAAUUUCCGAAUUCCCGCCGCUUCAUUCCCCCCUGAUCACCUGUUUUUUUUUUUGCUCUGCUUGCUGCUCAAAUUCCCAUGCGAACAAAAGCUUCUCCACUCUAGACCAGAGGCCUCCACUGCUUCCUCUCUAUCGUUCCCGUCGCUCAAUCUUGCCGCCGACGAGCCUCCAUUGCCAAUCUUUCCAAGUCCCAUAUGAACAAGGAACAAAAAGAAGCCCUAAAUUCCCACUUCUCCUAUUCUGACAAAGAAGCAUUUACCCGGCCAAGGAAAAAGAAAACUCACUCGAUUCCACCUCACUCAUUCCUCUCUUUCCCCCAAAUUCCAAAAUUUCCCCGUUAUGCUCUGAUGUCCAAAUUGAUUUGCUUUGCUUGACCGGAAGGUUAUGCUCUAAUUCCAGCCUCGACAUGAUUUUGGACUGGGUCGUGGAAGGCAGAUCGAAGGCACGUGAAGCUGUCCUCCUACGCAAAGCUCGGUUACCCAAGGAGAUUAGGUCGUGGAAGGAAGAUGCUCUGAGCCAGCCUCGACAUGAUUUUGUGAAGAUUAGGUCGGGGAAGGAAGAUCGAAGGCCCGUGAAGCUCUCUUCCUACGCCAAGCUCCGUUACCCAAAGAGGAAUCUGCUUCUGGUUCUUGACUGUUGCUCGGCGGUUUCACGAGGAGGACGUCGGCGCUUUGGGAACAUGGCUGGUGUUUUUCAAGUAAUGGCAUUUGGAGUUCGGGCGUUGGACAAGAAGGAUCUUGAUCCUUCUUUCAAGGCUAAGCUUGCUAAGAUUGCCACGGCUGAGAUGAUUUCCUCCAAGGUCUCUUGUCAUUUAGUCUUCUAUUGAGUGAAGACUGCUGGCUGAAGUCCUUCCACGGCAGGAGAAAGGCAGGAUAAUGUUCCCGUUGUUGGACCGGAACAAGAAACGGAGCUAGUCGUCAUUUGCCUCAGCCUUAUGUGUUGUAUACACCCAUAGAG
Morus notabilis is the source of this 1021-nucleotide RNA transcript. It is a transcript of the gene named protein SHOOT GRAVITROPISM 6, with no coding region annotated. The record is from RefSeq and is a predicted model, not a curated record. The transcript has 6 exons. NCBI's taxonomy places the organism in Eukaryota, Viridiplantae, Streptophyta, Magnoliopsida, Rosales, Moraceae.